AUUGAACGCUGGCGGCAGGCCUAACACAUGCAAGUCGAACGAGUGGCGGACGGGUGAGUAAUGUCUGGGAAACUGCCUGAUGGAGGGGGAUAACUACUGGACACGGUAGCUAAUACCGCAUACCAUCAGAUGUGCCCAGAUGGGAUUAGCUAGUGUGGGGGGUAACUGCUCACCAAGGCGACGAUCCCUAGCUGGUCUGAGAGGUUGACCGGCCACACGGGAACGAAGCCACGGUCCAGACGCCUACGCGAGGCAGCAGUGGGGAAGAUUGCACAAUGGGCGCAAGCCUGAUGCAGCAAUGCCGCGUGUAUGAAUAAGGCCUUCGGGUUGUAAAGUACUUUCAGCUGGGAGGCGUUACCCGCAGAAGAAGCACCGGCUAACUCCGUGCCAGCAGCCGCGGUAAUUC
RNAcentral lists this ribosomal RNA (406 nucleotides) under uncultured bacterium. Its description in RNAcentral is "partial 16S ribosomal RNA". It matches the Rfam family "Bacterial small subunit ribosomal RNA", at positions 30 to 526 of the family's 1533-position model. The record is from RNAcentral.